CUACCCUCGAGAGGGGAAUAACUCGCCGAAAGGAGUGCUAAUACCGCAUAAGACCACGAUCUCGAAAGAGAACGAGGUAAAAGCUGGCCUCUAUACAUAAGCUAGCACUUGAGGAUGGGCCCGCGGCGCAUCACGGUAGUUGGUGAGGUAAUGGCUCACCAAGCCUAAGACGCGUAGCUGGUCUGAGAGGAUGAUCAGCCACACUGGAACUGAGACACGGUCCAGACUCCUACGGGAGGCAGCAGUGGGGAAUCUUGCGCAAUGGGCGACAGCCUGACGCAGCGACGCCGCGUGAGUGAUGAAGGCCUUCGGGUUGUAAAGCUCUGUGGGGCGAGACGAAUAAGUGCAGCCUAAUACGUUGCAUGAUGACGGUAUCGCCUUAGCAAGCACCGGCUAACUCUGUGCCAGCAGCCGCGGUAAGACAGAGGGUGCAAACGUUGUUCGGAAUUACUGGGCGUAAAGCGAGUGUAGGCGGUCUCUUAAGUCGGGUGUGAAAGCCCCGGGCUCAACCCGGGAAGUGCACUCGAAACUGCGAGGCUAGAGUAUCGGAGAGGUUGGUGGAAUUCUCGGUGUAGAGGUGAAAUUCGUAGAUAUCGAGAGGAACACCG
Molecule: ribosomal RNA, 608 nt
Filed under: uncultured Byssovorax sp.
Lineage: Bacteria; Pseudomonadati; Myxococcota; Polyangiales; Polyangiaceae
Description: bacterial SSU rRNA
Rfam family: Bacterial small subunit ribosomal RNA
Source: RNAcentral